This 91-nucleotide transfer RNA is filed under the name Litorihabitans aurantiacus. Its description in RNAcentral is "tRNA-Arg". The record is from RNAcentral. Lineage: Bacteria; Bacillati; Actinomycetota; Actinomycetes; Micrococcales; Beutenbergiaceae.
GCGAGUCCUCGCGCAGUCGCAGCGCGACGUGCGUGCGGUGCUCGAGCGCGAUCGGCAGCGCGAGGCCGCCGUUGUAGUCGGUGUGCUCGCC